Molecule: long non-coding RNA, 650 nt
Filed under: Sarcophilus harrisii (Tasmanian devil)
Lineage: Eukaryota; Metazoa; Chordata; Mammalia; Dasyuromorphia; Dasyuridae
Description: lncRNA (ENSSHAG00000030143.1)
Source: RNAcentral
CUGGAUCACAGUAGGGAAAGAAGCCACUUCUUGGGGAUAGAACCCAGGGAGGAAUAAAGAAACCCACUUUUCUACAGUCACAUAGAAAGUCAUAAAUAGCAGCAAAAUUGAAUUUCUAAGGCACCAGGAGAAUGAGGAGAAGCUUGUGGCUGACUUGAAUCCCUCAGAUGAUUUUGUUUUAUGAAGGAUGGGAUGAAAAUGUCAGAGUACACGGAAAACAUCUUAGUUCUUCCCAUCUCCAGUGGGAUCAUUCAAAUCCUGCCCCAGGUCCUGUUGAGCUAGUGCUGAUGCCCCAGGAAGAGGAGCAAAGGGGCCAUUCCUUCAUCUGCUUCUCAGAAUUCUACACCAUCUCCUAAAACACAAAAAGGACACAGUUUGCCAGGCUUAGGUGACUUGGAGAAGGAUGAUGGAAAUCAUUCAGAUCAUUCCCUUGGCAAUGUAGCCAGCCCCAUUCUGGACUUCCCUGCCACGACAUCCUCAGUCUCUCACACAUAAGGUAAUCCAGGUUGAAUAUUUCUUCAGUCAUGUUUCUGGAGUCUGAAAGAAAACAAAGUCUCACAGUGUUCAAGAAUUCAGCUACUGAGACUGAAGCCAAAUAGAUUCUUGGAGAAAUGUGAAGAAAGCACUUAGCAGAGUAUCUGGAACAUUAC